UAGGGAAUAUUGGUAAUCUGGGAAACCGGGAACCAGCAACGCCGCGUGCGCGAUGAAGGCCUUCGGGGUGUAAAGCGCUUUUUGAGAGGAUGAGGAAGGACAGUACUCUUAGAAUAAGCAUCGGCUAACUACGUGCCAGCAGCCGCGGUAAAAAGUAGGAGGCGAGCGUUAUCCGGAUUUACUGGGCGUAAAGCGGGGGUAGGCGGUUUGAUAAGUUGGAUGUGAAAGCUCCUGGCUUAACUGGGGGAGGUCGUUCAAAACGAUCAGACUUGAGAGUGGUAGAGGGAGGUGGAAUUCCGGAUGUAGUGGUGAAAUGCGUAGAUAUGCGGAGGAACACCAGUGGCGAAAGCGGCCUCCUGGCCCAUUUCUGACGCUCAGACACGAAAGCUAAGGUAGCAAACG
Molecule: ribosomal RNA, 402 nt
Filed under: uncultured prokaryote
Description: bacterial SSU rRNA
Rfam family: Bacterial small subunit ribosomal RNA
Source: RNAcentral